This 472-nucleotide ribosomal RNA is filed under the name uncultured bacterium. RNAcentral's name for it is "partial 16S ribosomal RNA". It matches the Rfam family "Bacterial small subunit ribosomal RNA", at positions 28 to 507 of the family's 1533-position model. The record is from RNAcentral.
GACGAACGCUGGCGGCGUGCUUAACACAUGCAAGUCGAACGAUGAAGCCCAGCUUGCUGGGUGGAUUAGUGGCGAACGGGUGAGUAAUACGUGAGUAACCUGCCUUUAACUCUGGGAUAAGCCUUGGAAACGGGGUCUAAUACCGGAUACGACCAACCCUCGCAUGGGGUGUUGGUGAAAAGGGAUUUUGUACUGGUUUUAGAUGGGCUCACGGCCUAUCAGCUUGUUGGUGAGGUAACGGCUCACCAAGGCGACGACGGGUAGCCGGCCUGAGAGGGUGACCGGCCACACUGGGACUGAGACACGGCCCAGACUCCUACGGGAGGCAGCAGUGGGGAAUAUUGCACAAUGGGCGCAAGCCUGAUGCAGCGACGCCGCGUGAGGGAUGACGACCUUCGGGUUGUAAACCUCUUUCAGCAGGGGAGAAGCGAAAGUGACGGUACCUGCAGAAGAAGCGCCGGCUAACUACGUG